AUGAGGCACUAUUUUGUGGAGAAUCCCACAUACCCCGAGUCAUACUUUCGUCGCCGGUUUAGGAUGAGCACCGAGUUGUUCAGACGCAUCACAGAGAAACUAGCGAGCCAUAUGCGGUUUUUUCAGCAGAGGAGGAAUGCCGCCGGAGAGCUUGGGCAUAGCACCUUUCAGAAGGUGACAGCCGCUUUGCGUAUGUUGGCAUACGGUAUCCCCGAGUUGAUGAUCACUUGGCCAAGGUUGAGAGCCAAGCCAUCAUGUGUGUCAAGCGCUUGCGGGUCGCCAGGUAUGCUUGGUUCAAUAGAUUGCAUGCAUUGGAGUUGGAAGAAUUGUCCAAAGGCAUGGCAUGGCCAAUUCCACGGACAAAAAAGGGUUCCACUAUAA
This 381-nucleotide ribosomal RNA is filed under the name Triticum aestivum (bread wheat). RNAcentral's name for it is "partial small subunit ribosomal RNA". Lineage: Eukaryota; Viridiplantae; Streptophyta; Magnoliopsida; Poales; Poaceae. The record is from RNAcentral.